Molecule: long non-coding RNA, 2579 nt
Organism: Oncorhynchus kisutch (coho salmon)
Lineage: Eukaryota; Metazoa; Chordata; Actinopteri; Salmoniformes; Salmonidae
Exons: 5
Source: RefSeq, a predicted model, not a curated record
AGUAUUCACUGUUUCCCACAACUUCUUGUCACUGGCGCCGGGCCACUUCACAUAUGGUCUGUGCCCUGGUAGUCUCCUCUCGACUGCAGGUCGGUGAGUUCCACUCCUGUUGUUGGUUCCACCUCAGUUGUUACUUCGGUGCUUGAGUUUACGUCCUCCAUGACAGUGGUACUGAUGCACUGCAAACUAUGGUUUGCGUCCAGUUGCUGUGCUUCAUUCGACUGAUUUGAUCGCUUUCGCAGAAAGUAAUCAAUGCGAGGCCUCUGUCUCUCUUUACCCAAACACCCCUUCUUCCCCUGGUGGAUCCUCAACCCAUGGUGUGAUGUAACUUUCCUCCAACCACAGACACAUACCUGCAUCUGUUUGUGGCCCGCUGUUGCAGCAGAACUUGUGACAGUUGCUGUGGUGAAGAAGUAGAUUGUUAUUUUAGUGAGGGGGUAAGACUAGAAAAGCAACAGUUCCUUUUUGACCUACAUUAUAUUAUUAGUCCUUCGUGAAUUCCUCGUGUCCUCUCUCCACAUCCUUUUAGAGCAUUGGAGUAGACAAGAGGAACCUCGGAUCUUCCUAAAUGCGUUUUGAUAAGGAUGGCCCCUGUACUUUGUAUGUGUCAAAUUACAUUCUACCUUUAUAGAGCGACUGUCCCCAAAAAGCAGCUAAUCCCUUUGAAACCGGCCGAUGUGGCGUCGAUAUAAAUCUGAAACAUUUAUUCUAGUGUCACAAUUGACCACAAAGUGUAAAUAGGAUAACGUUGGUCAUAAAGUCGUCUAAAACUAAGUUUGGAACCUCAGUAAAUCAAGGUUGGGUUUGGAUUACAAUCAUGUCAACAAAUCAGGCUCCGUUUUGACAAACUCCACGUGAAAAUCGUUCUUUCGACCCCUUUGCUUCCAUUCAUUGAAGGGAACUUCAUCGCCCCCAAUGCUUUCAAAGAAGGAUCAUGGCCCUAUAUGGAUUGACCAUGCCCCCUGAGCCAAAAUUCGGCUGUUUGCAUGCACUGUCGAAGGACCCUGGUAUGUGAUCGUAAUAGGCGCUUGGAGUUUGUCGGUCCCCAAGUUUGUACCAGCAACGCUAGCAUUGUGUGUUUGCAACAACCGGUGGUGCCUCAGCCAACACCACCUGAUGAGGAAGUACAUUGUUUAUGAGGAUUGCCUGCUGCAGUUGUUCGAGAGAUGUCCAGUUUGAAGCUAUACAUGCAACAUAGAGAAGACCAGCAAGGGGACCCUUAGCAUCAAGCAGACAUGCCUCGCUGUGAGAAUUUCUUUAAAUGGAACAGGGAGGACACUUGAAUCAGUAUCUUUGAUGAGGGGCCAGGAGCUGAUCUAUGCUGCCGUGCCCAUCAAAGGCGCACAGGCUAAAACCUCACCCCCAGCCUCACCUCUUGCCUGCACACCAACGGUCGUCGAUGGGGAGACCAGAAUAAAAUGCAUCUAUGGAGCCGGCACUUGGAGACUUGCAAGAUGAUGUGAUGGAGUCCUGAACGACAGACAGGCUUUAUACUGAUGUCUCUAAAUGGAGAGACCUGCCACUCGGCAUUAACAUUUUACUAGACACAACUUUUACUUGUAAAGUGUUUCUUUAUUAUUGAAUGGUAUCAGUCAAUAUUGGGAGGGAGAAACCCUGUGUAUUAUGCACCAGGAUCCGGGAACUGCUGUUGUAUACAAGACACCACACCGGAAGGUAUGACCACGCUGACAUUUUUGCCAAGGUAACCCCAUUACCACCAGAAACCUCUGGCAUCUCACCAUACAGCUACCUCUAGUUAUUGAACUCAACCUGCGGGAGGUUUUUGUUGUAAUUGAGUGGGGGGAAACAGCUGUGAGAGACUUCAAUCAAAGUUGAUUUCUGAGAGGCGUUGUUUACUCAUCGUAGCUCAUGUAAAGAAUAGAUAAUGUAAACACUUGUGGGUGCACAAAUAUCAUGACAUUCACAUAAAGUUAGACCUUCUAACCGAGAGUUCAAACGAAUGUGUCUUGAUUUGUAAAAAUGAUGGCCUUUAGAUGAAAUGACAUGUAACUCUUACAGGUUUGUCCACAGUGAAUGAGUUCCACACUGGCAUGAGGGAUCUCUUGCUAUUGCAUUGACAAAGACUGGAUGAUACAGUAGGCAGUAGUCAUUGCUGAGUUACAGCAUUUUUGGUCUCCCCAACAAUGUGUGCUUCUCCUCAACAGCGGUCACUGAAAGACAACAACCUAAAACUCAAGGCCAAAUCUACACUGGAGUUGCUUCCCAAGAAGACAGUGGAUGUUCCUGAUUGUCCAAGUUAGUUUUAAAUCUACUUAAAAAUCUAUGGCAUGACCUGAAAAUGGUUGUCUAGCAAUGAUCAACAACCAAUUUGACCGAGCUUGAAUAAAUUUUUAAAAAAAAGAAUGAUCCAGGUGUGGAAAGCUCUUAGAGAUGUACACAGAAAAACACAGCUGUAAUUGCUGCCAAAGGUGUGAAAACUUAUGUAAAUGAGAGAUUUCUGUAUUUCCUUUUCAAUAAAAUUGCAAAAAAUAUAUAAAACAUGUUUUCACCUUAUCAUUAUGAGUGUUGAUGGGUCUUUCUGUAAAUUUGUUAAUUUUCAAUUUUUUAUAUUAUAUGGA